GAUGAACGCUGGCGGCGUGCCUAAUACAUGCAAGUCGAGCGAACGGACGAGAAGCUUGCUUCUCUGAUGUUAGCGGCGGACGGGUGAGUAACACGUGGAUAACCUACCUAUAAGACUGGGAUAACUUCGGGAAACCGGAGCUAAUACCGGAUAAUAUUUUGAACCGCAUGGUUCAAAAGUGAAAGACGGUCUUGCUGUCACUUAUAGAUGGAUCCGCGCUGCAUUAGCUAGUUGGUAAGGUAACGGCUUACCAAGGCAACGAUGCAUAGCCGACCUGAGAGGGUGAUCGGCCACACUGGAACUGAGAAACGGUCCAGACUCCUACGGGAGGCAGCAGUAGGGAAUCUUCCGUAAUGGGCGAAAGCCUGACGGAGCAACGCCGCGUGAGUGAUGAAGGUCUUCGGAUCGUAAAACUCUGUUAUUAGGGAAGAACAUAUGUGUAAGUAACUGUGCACAUCUUGACGGUACCUAAUCAGAAAGCCACGGCUAACUACGUG
RNAcentral lists this ribosomal RNA (497 nucleotides) under uncultured bacterium. RNAcentral describes it as "partial 16S ribosomal RNA". It matches the Rfam family "Bacterial small subunit ribosomal RNA", at positions 28 to 507 of the family's 1533-position model. The record is from RNAcentral.